Molecule: non-coding RNA, 72 nt
Organism: Phrynosoma platyrhinos (Desert horned lizard)
Lineage: Eukaryota; Metazoa; Chordata; Lepidosauria; Squamata; Phrynosomatidae
Source: the annotation of a GenBank genome assembly
GCCAGUGAGGUGUAGUGGUUUGAACAUUGGACUAAGACUCUGGAGACCAUGGUUUGAAUCCUGGCUUGGCCA